CAGUCGCCACGGGAAUACGUAGGUGGCAAGCGUUGUCCGGAAUUAUUGGGCGUAAAGGGCUCGCAGGCGGUUUCUUAAGUCUGAUGUGAAAGCCCCCGGCUCAACCGGGGAGGGUCAUUGGAAACUGAGAAACUUGAGUGCAGAAGAGGAGAGUGGAAUUCCACGUGUAGCGGUGAAAUGCGUAGAGAUGUGGAGGAACACCAGUGGCGAAGGCGACUCUCUGGUCUGUAACUGACGCUGAGGAGCGAAAGCGUGGGGAGCGAACAGGAUUAGAUACCCCGGUAGUCCCUGUCUCUUAUAC
This 301-nucleotide ribosomal RNA is filed under the name uncultured bacterium. RNAcentral's name for it is "partial 16S ribosomal RNA". It matches the Rfam family "Bacterial small subunit ribosomal RNA", at positions 509 to 807 of the family's 1533-position model. The record is from RNAcentral.